RNAcentral lists this long non-coding RNA (4529 nucleotides) under Medicago truncatula (barrel medic). Its description in RNAcentral is "long non-coding RNA (MTRU_LNC005139)". Lineage: Eukaryota; Viridiplantae; Streptophyta; Magnoliopsida; Fabales; Fabaceae. The record is from RNAcentral.
UGGCAUUAGACAACUUCAAUCAGGAUGGGCUGAUGGGCCAGCAUAUGUGACUCAAUGCCCCAUCCAAACAGAUCAAAGCUAUGUUUACAAUUACACAAUUAAAGGCCAAAGAGGAACACUCUUUUGGCAUGCUCAUAUAUCUUGGUUAAGAUCAACACUCUAUGGUCCACUCAUCAUACUUCCAAAGAAAAAUGAUCAAUAUCCUUUUGCUAAACCCCACAAGGAAGUUCUUAUCUUAUUUGGUAAUAAAACUAUUAAAGGGAUGAUAACCUUAAACUACCUAUCUUAAUUUUCAUAAGCUAAUUAAAAUAUAAAAUUGCUUUUAGGUGAAUGGUUCAAUGCAGAUCCUGAGGCAAUCAUAGCACAAGCUCUCCAAACUGGUGGAGGACCAAAUGUCUCUGAUGCAUACACAAUUAAUGGACUUCCAGGGCCAUUGUAUAAUUGUUCUGCUAAUGGUAUCAAGUGAUAAUCAACAUAUUUAUUGUAUAUUUUAGCAACCAAUUUGUGCAAUUCGAUACAUACAAUUUCUACUGCAACUUUACACAAUUAUUUACUUCAUAUAAAGUAAAUGAACAAUAUGAUUUAAAUGUAAAAUGUAAUUCUCUACAGAUACAUUCAAACUAAAGGUGAAGCCUGGAAAAACCUACCUUCUACGUUUGAUCAACGCUGCGCUGAAUGAUGAGUUGUUCUUCAGCAUUGCAAAUCAUACCCUCAAAGUUGUUGAAGCAGAUGCUAUUUAUGUUAAACCUUUUGAGACAAACACCAUCUAUAUUGCCCCUGGCCAAACCACUAAUGUUCUUCUCAAUACCAAGUCACACUAUCCCAAUGCGGCAUUCUUAAUGACUGCUAGACCCUAUGCCGCUGGCCCUGGACCUUUUGACAACACAACGGUCGCUGCUAUCCUUGAAUAUGAAAUCCCACCAAAUACUCAUCAUUCAGCUUCUUCACUAAAAAAGCAUCCUCUAUUCAAACCUAUUCUUCCUGCAUUUAAUGAUACAUCCUUUGCAACAAAGUUCUCCAACAAACUCCGUAGCCUAGCAAGUGCACAGUUUCCAGCUAAUGUUCCCAAGAAAAUCGAUAAACACUUUUUCUUCACAGUAGGCAUUGGUACUAACCCUUGUCAAAGCAACCAAACUUGUCAGGGACUCAAUGGAACAAUGUUUGUGGCAUCAAUGAACAAUGUAUCUUUCACAAUGCCAACUACAGCACUUCUUCAAUCCCAUUUCUUUGGACAAAACAAUGGAAUUUACACCACUGAUUUCCCAAGUAAACCUUUGAAUCCAUUCAACUAUACCGGCACGCCACCGAAUAACACUAUGGUGAGUAAUGGAACAAAGGUUGUUGUUCUUCCUUUUAACACAAGUGUGGAACUUGUGAUGCAAGACACUAGUAUUCUUGGUGCCGAAAGUCACCCUCUCCAUUUGCAUGGCUUUAACUUCUUUGUUGUUGGACAAGGAUUUGGUAACUACGAUUCAAAUAAGGAUCCACAAAAAUUUAACCUUGUUGAUCCCGUUGAAAGGAAUACAGUUGGUGUUCCAUCUGGUGGAUGGGUUGCUAUCAGAUUCCUAGCAGAUAAUCCAGGUUGGUUCCUAGAUUAUUCGUCAAACUAUCAAAAGUCAUUUUGGUUUCGAAGAAUGUUUUAGUUCACUUUCAUAAAUUAACAAAAAGAAAGCAUGCAACUAUAAAUUAACAAAAAUGUCUAAUUGUGUUUGCAGGGGUAUGGUUCAUGCAUUGUCAUUUGGAAGUACAUACAAGUUGGGGUCUUAGUAUGGCAUGGAUUGUCUUGGAUGGAAAACUCCCAAAUCAGAAGCUGCUUCCACCACCAGCUGAUCUUCCCAAGUGUUAACUUCAACAAAAAAUGACUUCAUUUGUUACUUUUAUCUUCUUUGUAUGUUAAAAAUUAACUGAACCAUUCUAACAUUAGAAACAUCACUUUGUAAUCCUGGCAAUAAAUCAAGGCAUAAUCUUCAACCUGAUAAGGGUGGCUUGAGUACCAUUAUCUUCAAAUGAGUCUAAUUUGUUGAUUAACUAAAUCACACUUUUUAAGGAUAAACAACUUGGUGAGAUAAAUUCAUAGAUUUUAAAUUUAAUUGUCAAAUUCUAAUACAAUAUACAAAUGCAAAAUAAAAAGAUAGAAAUAUAUCUCCAUUAUAUCUCUAUAUAUUGUACAAUAAUUUUUUUUUAUUAUGUUCUCGUCAUCAAAGGAAUACAAAAUUUUAAUGACAAAACAAAAUGAGUUUCGUCUUAGAGUUUCACAUAGAAAAGUUGGUGCUUGCUUGCAUAUGUUAUUGCUUUCAAGUUACAAUAUUAUUAAACGUGGAAAUGGAGACGAUCCAUUUCCAAAAUAAGUUUGUUGUGUCCUCGUCUGACUCAGAACCUGUCCUAGUAGAAAGGAAAAUUCAACAAUAUCUUAGAGUUUCGUUAGGUAUGGUGUAGACAAAAUCAAUUCAAAUUUAAAUUUAAAGAAUAAAAAAUAUAAAAAUAAUAUGACUUUGGAUUAUGGAUAGUUGUUCAAAAAACAAAACUUUAGGGUAUAGGAAUGGUUCAAAACUAAUGAAUGCCAAAUCAGAUAGCAAAAGCAACCUCAACUCACACAUGGUCACUCUGAUAUACCAUUUGUAGCAUUGUAAUAAUUUCAUAAUAUUGGUAUCAAUACAAGGAGAAUUUGCACUAUUAACAAUUUAUUGUUAUUGAACAUGACAGAAAACACGAGUAAAGAAUCACAGAUGCGCAAUGUUAAACUAGAAUUUCCUAAUUUCAACGGCCAAAAUGUGUUAGAAUGGAUUUUCAAGGCGGAACAAUUUUUCGAUUACUAUAAGGUUCCAGAAGCAGAGAAACUUACUGUGGCAGAAAUGCAUUUAGAUCAGGUGAUUAAUCCUUGGUUUGAAAUGAGCCAACCAUUCCUUACUUGGAGCGACAUGAGUGAUGCUCUUGAAUGUGAUUUCGGUCCAAUCUGUGCUUGUGCUUCUCUGAUUAAAUUGUAGAAUCACAUAGCCAUGCAUUGUUUUUUUUAAUAAUGUUGCUAUCAUGUUUUGGGAUUUACGAAGCAAUGACACAAACAUGUAAGGUGGGCACAAUGAUAAUGUAAAAAUUGAACUGAUUGAAUGAAUGGGAUUAGGACCUUGGAAGGGAAUUGGAAAAGAAAACUUUAUCGAAAAGUGUUACAUCUCUAGCAAACAAUCCAAGUAGGACUGGACUUUGCCCACAAUUUUUCCUCCCAUUCUUUUGAGCUAUUUGAUCAUUAUGGACAUGAAGUUCAACAUUAAUAAGAAACUACUAAUAUUCUUAACAAAAUGGGAUUCCAUACCGAAAUUCAAGUGAUUAGUAAUUGCAGUGGUUGAUAGUAAGUUUAGGGAUGAAAACUCAAAUGACAUAUAUUUGCAGGGACUAUUUGCAUAAAAAAAAAGAUACGCAACUUUUCUUUUAAGGAUUAGCAACUUGUUAGGUUAAUUCAUAUAUUUUAGAGCAUUGCUAAAUCACACGACAAAUCCAUGCACACGUCCAGCACGAUAUUGUUUAGUGGAAAUACACGGUCGUGCAUAUCCCACGACAAAGCAAGUCGUGUAUUCAAGCAUUUCUCUAUAUUUUAAAUCCAUAUGUACACUAUCUCUUGCAGUCUCUUUUUGCAGUUUUAAGAGCAAAACUCUCGUUACUUUCUGUCUAAAUUAGACUUUCCAGUUUUUAUUGUUAAGCGAUAAUAACACACGGAAGACCUUGUUAUAGUGCUAAAAGUAAUUACUACAUUACAUCCAAGUUUUUAAUUGAUCCAAAGAGGAGCAAUAAAUGGAAAUUUUGUGUAACAGAAAACUUGCCACAUGAGAAAAAUAGUAGUAGUCAGUCGUUAGAAAUUAAAUGUUGUAUAAUAAGAAAAAUACUGCAUACAACCAUAUUUUAGACAUACAACCUUUUAAUGAUGUAAUCUAGACAUAUGCAUGCAUACAUGGUACAAAGAAAAGCAAUUUUCCCUCGAUGUAAUACUCCAAUCUAAUGGUAGACGGUGCUUGGAGAGCAAAAGUUCAUUCGGAACAUAAUUUAUUAACAAAAAAGGAAACAUAAACAUACAGUAGCAGUAGUUUCAAAAAACAACCAUCACAUAUGGUUUAAUGCCUUCCUGCAAGGGCCAGAAUUUUGAGACAACGCUUGAUAAGAACUCAAUAUCUUAAUUUAGCAUAUGGUAAGUUCAGAACUCAAUUUGUUUCUGGAUGUGGUGGAACUUCUUGUGAUCCACCUUCUUUAGUCAGAGCUAGUAUCUUGACUCGAGUGCAACACAUCAUGUAAUAUCUUGAAAUAGGCAUGGCAUUAGACAACUUCAAUCAGGAUGGGCUGAUGGACCAGCAUAUCAUGUGACUCAGUGCCCUAUCCAAACAGGUCAAAGCUAUGUUUACAAUUACACCAUUAAAGGCCAAAGAGGAACACUCUUUUGGCAUGCUCAUAUACCUUGGUUAAGGUCAACACUCUAUGGACCUCUCAUCAUUCUUCCCAAGAAAAAUGUUCCAUAUCCUUUUGCAAAACCCCACAAGGAAGUUCCC